Molecule: transfer RNA, 58 nt
Filed under: Salmo salar (Atlantic salmon)
Lineage: Eukaryota; Metazoa; Chordata; Actinopteri; Salmoniformes; Salmonidae
Rfam family: tRNA
About the family: Transfer RNA (tRNA) molecules are approximately 80 nucleotides in length. Their secondary structure includes four short double-helical elements and three loops (D, anti-codon, and T loops). Further hydrogen bonds mediate the characteristic L-shaped molecular structure. tRNAs have two regions of fundamental functional importance: the anti-codon, which is responsible for specific mRNA codon recognition, and the 3' end, to which the tRNAs corresponding amino acid is attached (by aminoacyl-tRNA synthetases). tRNAs cope with the degeneracy of the genetic code in two manners: having more than one tRNA (with a specific anti-codon) for a particular amino acid; and 'wobble' base-pairing, i.e. permitting non-standard base-pairing at the 3rd anti-codon position.
Source: Rfam by way of RNAcentral
UGGCUCAGUUGGUAGAGCAUGGUGUUUGCAACGCCAGGGUUGUGGAUUCGAUUCUCAC